UUGGAGGGCAAGUCUGGUGCCAGCAGCCGCGGUAAUUCCAGCUCCAAUAGCGUAUAUUAAAGUUGUUGCAGUUAAAAAGCUCGUAGUUGAAUUUCGGGAUCAAUUUAUCGGUCGUGCCAAUGGUAUGAACUGGUACAAUUGGUUUCUCCCUUCUGACGAAGCAUGAUGUCAUUAAUUUGGUGUCGUGGGGAAUCAGGACUGUUACUUUGAAAAAAUUAGAGUGUUUAAAGCAAGCAUUAGCUUGAAUACAUUAGCAUGGAAUAAUGAAAUAGGACGUUUGAUCCUAUUUCGUUGGUUUCUAGGAUCGACGUAAUGAUUAAUAGGGAUAGUUGGGGGCAUUAGUAUUCAAUUGUCAGAGGUGAAAUUCUUGGAUUUAUUGAAGACUAACUACUGCGAAAGCAUUUGCCAAGGAUGUUUUCAUUAAUCAAGAACGAAAGUUAGGGGAUCGAAGACGAUCAGAUACCGUCGUAGUCUUAACCAUAAACUAUGCCGACUAGGGAUCGGAUGAUGUUAAUUUUUUAAUGACUCAUUCGGCGCCUUACGGGAAAC
RNAcentral lists this ribosomal RNA (549 nucleotides) under uncultured Glomus. RNAcentral's name for it is "SSU rRNA". It matches the Rfam family "Eukaryotic small subunit ribosomal RNA", at positions 548 to 1098 of the family's 1831-position model. The record is from RNAcentral. RNAcentral also lists the same sequence under 1 other name. Lineage: Eukaryota; Fungi; Glomeromycota; Glomeromycetes; Glomerales; Glomeraceae.